RNAcentral lists this ribosomal RNA (470 nucleotides) under uncultured Alphaproteobacteria bacterium. RNAcentral describes it as "bacterial SSU rRNA". It matches the Rfam family "Bacterial small subunit ribosomal RNA", at positions 9 to 524 of the family's 1533-position model. Lineage: Bacteria; Pseudomonadati; Pseudomonadota; Alphaproteobacteria. The record is from RNAcentral.
GAGUUUGAUCGUGGCUCAGAACGAACGCUGGCGGCAGGCUUAACACAUGCAAGUCGAACGGUUGUAGCAAUACAGCAGUGGCAGACGGGUGAGUAACACGUGGGAACCUUCCUAGGGGUACGGAACAACUCAGGGAAACUUGAGCUAAUACCGUAUACGUCCGUAAGGAGAAAGAUUUAUCGCCCUUAGACGGGCCCGCGUCGGAUUAGCUAGUUGGUGGGGUAACGGCCUACCAAGGCGACGAUCCGUAGCUGAUCUUAGAGGAUGAUCAGCCACACUGGGACUGAGACACGGCCCAGACUCCUACGGGAGGCAGCAGUGGGGAAUCUUGGACAAUGGGCGCAAGCCUGAUCCAGCCAUGCCGCGUGAGUGAAGAAGGUCUUCGGAUUGUAAAGCUCUUUUACCAGGGACGAUAAUGACGGUACCUGGAGAAUAAGCCCCGGCAACUUCGUGCCAGCAACCGCUGUAAC